RNAcentral lists this ribosomal RNA (210 nucleotides) under uncultured bacterium. RNAcentral describes it as "partial 16S ribosomal RNA". It matches the Rfam family "Bacterial small subunit ribosomal RNA", at positions 568 to 774 of the family's 1533-position model. The record is from RNAcentral.
UGCGUAGGCGGGCAAGUAAGUCAGGGGUGAAAUCCCACGGCCCAACCGUGGAAGUGCCUCUGAUACUGCGAGUCUAGAGGGGGACGAGGGGCGAUGCGGAACUUCCGGUGGAGCGGUGAAAUAGCGUAGAUAUCGGAAGGAACACCGGUGGCGAAAGCGGCGUGCUGGAUCCCUACUGACGCUGAGGCACGAAAGCCAGGGGAGCAAACG